Long non-coding RNA from Maniola jurtina (meadow brown), 387 nucleotides. RefSeq lists it as uncharacterized. NCBI's taxonomy places the organism in Eukaryota, Metazoa, Arthropoda, Insecta, Lepidoptera, Nymphalidae. The transcript is spliced from 3 exons. The record is from RefSeq and is a predicted model, not a curated record.
UUCUCAACAUUCCGUUCUGUGUGCCUAGUCGGAGUUUUUUAACCUAUUCGAUCGCGUAAAAGUUAACUGCGUUUUGUAUGGAAUUGAAAUAGCGCCAUCUAGUGACAAGAAGUGGAAACAUAAUUUGUGAGUGCGAGUUUUUUACGUCCUCGGGACCGACUAUUGUUUACCGACUCGCAUGCGAAAGUGACAACGUGAGCGCACGUGAUUGGUGGAUUCAAGAACUAUGCGAGUGCGAGUAUCAAAUUUUGACAAUUCGCGGAGUAAAUCGAGUAAACACGACGCUAACGCGAUAGUUAAGUUGUCGCAUAGAUUUUUACAGUGAAAGUUGAGUGAGGAGAUAAUUUUAAAGACAUUUAUUUGCAUUUUUCAAAGUGGUGAUAGCUU